Molecule: ribosomal RNA, 472 nt
Filed under: uncultured bacterium
Lineage: Bacteria
Description: bacterial SSU rRNA
Rfam family: Bacterial small subunit ribosomal RNA
Source: RNAcentral
CAGGACGAACGCUGGCGGCGUGCUUCAUACAUGCAAGUCGAACGAGAAAUUACCUUCGGGUAAUGGAAAGUGGCGGACGGGUGAGUAAUGUGUAGAGAAUCUGCCCUAGAGAGGGGGACAACCGUUGGAAACGACAGCUAAUACCCCAUAUGAGCGUACCUGAAAUGGUAUUCUUGAAAACUCCGGUGCUCUGGGAUGAGUCUGCAUCUGAUUAGCUAGUUGGGGGUGUAAUGGACCACCAAGGCGACGAUCAGUAGCUGGUUUGAGAGGAUGAUCAGCCACAAUGGGACUGAGACACGGCCCAUACUCCUACGGGAGGCAGCAGUAGGGAAUUUUGCGCAAUGGGCGAAAGCCUGACGCAAGCAACGCCGCGUGAUCGAGACGCUUUUCGGAGUGUAAAGAUCUGUCACAGGGGACGAACGAUGACGGUACCCUGAGAGGAAGCACCGGCUAACUCCGUGCCAGCCGCUGC